This 823-nucleotide ribosomal RNA is filed under the name Microbacterium sp. R41. Its description in RNAcentral is "bacterial SSU rRNA". It matches the Rfam family "Bacterial small subunit ribosomal RNA", at positions 618 to 1440 of the family's 1533-position model. Lineage: Bacteria; Bacillati; Actinomycetota; Actinomycetes; Micrococcales; Microbacteriaceae. The record is from RNAcentral.
GGCCUGCAGUGGGUACGGGCAGACUAGAGUGCGGUAGGGGAGAUUGGAAUUCCUGGUGUAGCGGUGGAAUGCGCAGAUAUCAGGAGGAACACCGAUGGCGAAGGCAGAUCUCUGGGCCGUAACUGACGCUGAGGAGCGAAAGGGUGGGGAGCAAACAGGCUUAGAUACCCUGGUAGUCCACCCCGUAAACGUUGGGAACUAGUUGUGGGGUCCAUUCCACGGAUUCCGUGACGCAGCUAACGCAUUAAGUUCCCCGCCUGGGGAGUACGGCCGCAAGGCUAAAACUCAAAGGAAUUGACGGGGACCCGCACAAGCGGCGGAGCAUGCGGAUUAAUUCGAUGCAACGCGAAGAACCUUACCAAGGCUUGACAUAUAGAGGAAACGUCUGGAAACAGUCGCCCCGCAAGGUCUCUAUACAGGUGGUGCAUGGUUGUCGUCAGCUCGUGUCGUGAGAUGUUGGGUUAAGUCCCGCAACGAGCGCAACCCUCGUUCUAUGUUGCCAGCACGUAAUGGUGGGAACUCAUGGGAUACUGCCGGGGUCAACUCGGAGGAAGGUGGGGAUGACGUCAAAUCAUCAUGCCCCUUAUGUCUUGGGCUUCACGCAUGCUACAAUGGCCGGUACAAAGGGCUGCAAUACCGUGAGGUGGAGCGAAUCCCAAAAAGCCGGUCCCAGUUCGGAUUGAGGUCUGCAACUCGACCUCAUGAAGUCGGAGUCGCUAGUAAUCGCAGAUCAGCAACGCUGCGGUGAAUACGUUCCCGGGUCUUGUACACACCGCCCGUCAAGUCAUGAAAGUCGGUAACACCUGAAGCCGGUGGCCUAACC